This 235-nucleotide ribosomal RNA is filed under the name uncultured bacterium. RNAcentral describes it as "partial 16S ribosomal RNA". It matches the Rfam family "Bacterial small subunit ribosomal RNA", at positions 96 to 334 of the family's 1533-position model. The record is from RNAcentral.
UGGCGGACGGGUGAGUAAUGUCUGGGAAACUGCCUGAUGGAGGGGGAUAACUACUGGAAACGGUAGCUAAUACCGCAUAACGUCGCAAGACCAAAGAGGGGGACCUUCGGGCCUCUUGCCAUCGGAUGUGCCCAGAUGGGAUUAGCUAGUAGGUGGGGUAACGGCUCACCUAGGCGACGAUCCCUAGCUGGUCUGAGAGGAUGACCAGCCACACUGGAACUGAGGCACGGUCCAG